UAAACAUUUCAGAUGUAGCUGCAUAGAGUUGAGCUUAAAGUUAGAAACUGGUUCUGUAUGUUGUCCAUGCAUAUUUUUCCUCUUUGACUCUGUUGUCUUUUCUCUUUGUUUCAUUUGUCCGUCAACUCAUGUCACAUGACUUGAGUUGACCAACAAUAAAAUCAGAAGACCUGCUCCACCUGCUGUUCUACUGGUUGUAAGAGAUUGUUGGAAAGGUUGGAUCUCCUCAACCUACAAACCUCCUUCUUCAACACCACUAGUUAGGUGGAGGAAGAUAAGAGACCCCAGUUGAGAAAAAAACACAUCAUCACUUUGCCGCUCAAGAAGACCUUUAAUAAGGCUGCAGCUCCAACAAUGAGCUUUUUAGACAUAGACUUGGUAAAACAAAGAUUUUUACACCGUCGACAUGCAAGAUUAAAGGAUUUCUCAAACUUUCACAACAGAAUUGAGGCAACACUCCAGUGCAGCUACAUUGAAUGAAUAUCAGUCAGAUGACAGACAUUGAAACAUUUUACAAACUGCUGGUUGCUUCUGUUCUCUGUGAUUGUCGAUGACGAAGAGAAGAUUGUGAAAGACUUGGAACAGUGGUCCAUCAUGUACCACAAUCAUUUCUCUAUUCAAAGAUUCAAGGAUGGCCUUUCAACCCUGGAUUUCAUUUUUGCUUUGGAGCUUCAAUUUCUAAGUCCACCAUGUUUUCUAGUCUUGUGUAGUUUUCCACACAGGAUUCACCAAGUCAGUGGAUGCACUGGGCCACUGUCUCUGGAGGUCCUCAAACUGUCCCUAAAGACGGUCAUGGCCACAUUGACUGCUGUUGGACUCGGUCAUAAAUUCCCAGUUUCUCCUGGGAAUCUGGGAACCCACAGCCUAUUCUGCCAAACUGAGGAGUAAAAUAUGUACAAGACACAUAGCUUGGUUAUUUAUUGACAUUUGUUCAUUCAACUGUGACUUGAAACUGUAAUAACUAUUGUUGAAAAAUGUUGUAAUGCUUAAUUGUAUUUAUGU
Long non-coding RNA from Poeciliopsis prolifica (blackstripe livebearer), 1002 nucleotides. RefSeq lists it as uncharacterized. The record is from RefSeq and is a predicted model, not a curated record. NCBI's taxonomy places the organism in Eukaryota, Metazoa, Chordata, Actinopteri, Cyprinodontiformes, Poeciliidae. The transcript has 5 exons.